CAAUUUCAACUAUCAAAGGAAAGGAAUCAGUCAGAGGAAAGGAAUCUCAGGAAAUCAUACUACAGUAUGGCGGAACAGUGAAGGAAUUUGCUGAGUACUUCAGCUUCCUUUCUUAGGAUGAUCUUUCUCACCUACUACACAGAGAAAAACCAAAACUCACCCAGGUUGAAGACACUGCCAGCUAUGUUACCUCCCCCAGAGACUUCAGCAAUUAGCAGGCGACCCUCAGGGAUGGGACCGUCAGACUCCACCCAGGAGAGCUGGUUGUUUGCACAAAACUGUUGCUCCCUUUGAAAAUUCUCCUGGUGAAGAUUUUGGAUUGUUUUUCAGUUUGAAAUUUUUGCCUGCAAAGAUGCUAUGAUUACAACAAAUUUGCAUGAUUUAUGAAGUUUGUUUAAGCGUUGUA
Long non-coding RNA from Equus quagga, 406 nucleotides. RefSeq lists it as uncharacterized. The record is from RefSeq and is a predicted model, not a curated record. NCBI's taxonomy places the organism in Eukaryota, Metazoa, Chordata, Mammalia, Perissodactyla, Equidae. The transcript is spliced from 3 exons.